Molecule: ribosomal RNA, 1733 nt
Filed under: Klebsiella aerogenes
Lineage: Bacteria; Pseudomonadati; Pseudomonadota; Gammaproteobacteria; Enterobacterales; Enterobacteriaceae
Description: bacterial SSU rRNA
Rfam family: Bacterial small subunit ribosomal RNA (bases 1-1320)
Source: RNAcentral
GCUACACAUGCAGUCGAGCGGUAACACAGAGAGCUUGCUCUCGGGUGACGAGCGGCGGACGGGUGAGUAAUGUCUGGGAAACUGCCUGAUGGAGGGGGAUAACUACUGGAAACGGUAGCUAAUACCGCAUAACGUCGCAAGACCAAAGUGGGGGACCUUCGGGCCUCAUGCCAUCAGAUGUGCCCAGAUGGGAUUAGCUAGUAGGUGGGGUAAUGGCUCACCUAGGCGACGAUCCCUAGCUGGUCUGAGAGGAUGACCAGCCACACUGGAACUGAGACACGGUCCAGACUCCUACGGGAGGCAGCAGUGGGGAAUAUUGCACAAUGGGCGCAAGCCUGAUGCAGCCAUGCCGCGUGUAUGAAGAAGGCCUUCGGGUUGUAAAGUACUUUCAGCGAGGAGGAAGGCAUUAAGGUUAAUAACCUUGGUGAUUGACGUUACUCGCAGAAGAAGCACCGGCUAACUCCGUGCCAGCAGCCGCGGUAAUACGGAGGGUGCAAGCGUUAAUCGGAAUUACUGGGCGUAAAGCGCACGCAGGCGGUCUGUCAAGUCGGAUGUGAAAUCCCCGGGCUCAACCUGGGAACUGCAUUCGAAACUGGCAGGCUAGAGUCUUGUAGAGGGGGGUAGAAUUCCAGGUGUAGCGGUGAAAUGCGUAGAGAUCUGGAGGAAUACCGGUGGCGAAGGCGGCCCCCUGGACAAAGACUGACGCUCAGGUGCGAAAGCGUGGGGAGCAAACAGGAUUAGAUACCCUGGUAGUCCACGCCGUAAACGAUGUCGACUUGGAGGUUGUGCCCUUGAGGCGUGGCUUCCGGAGCUAACGCGUUAAGUCGACCGCCUGGGGAGUACGGCCGCAAGGUUAAAACUCAAAUGAAUUGACGGGGGCCCGCACAAGCGGUGGAGCAUGUGGGUUUAAUUCGAUGCAACGCGAAGAACCUUACCUACUCUUGACAUCCAGAGAACUUAGCAGAGAUGCUUUGGUGCCUUCGGGAACUCUGAGACAGGUGCUGCAUGGCUGUCGUCAGCUCGUGUUGUGAAAUGGUUGGGGUUAAGUCCCGCAACGAGCGCAACCCUUAUCCUUUGUUGCCAGCGAUUCGGUCGGGAACUCAAAGGGGGCAUGCGCGCUACACAUGCAGUCGAGCGGUACACAGAGAGCUUGCUCUCGGGUGACGAGCGGCGGACGGGUGAGUAAUGUCUGGGAAACUGCCUGAUGGAGGGGGAUAACUACUGGAAACGGUAGCUAAUACCGCAUAACGUCGCAAGACCAAAGUGGGGGACCUUCGGGCCUCAUGCCAUCAGAUGUGCCCAGAUGGGAUUAGCUAGUAGGUGGGGUAAUGGCUCACCUAGGCGACGAUCCCUAGCUGGUCUGAGAGGAUGACCAGCCACACUGGAACUGAGACACGGUCCAGACUCCUACGGGAGGCAGCAGUGGGGAAUAUUGCACAAUGGGCGCAAGCCUGAUGCAGCCAUGCCGCGUGUAUGAAGAAGGCCUUCGGGUUGUAAAGUACUUUCAGCGAGGAGGAAGGCAUUAAGGUUAAUAACCUUGGUGAUUGACGUUACUCGCAGAAGAAGCACCGGCUAACUCCGUGCCAGCAGCCGCGGUAAUACGGAGGGUGCAAGCGUUAAUCGGAAUUACUGGGCGUAAAGCGCACGCAGGCGGUCUGUCAAGUCGGAUGUGAAAUCCCCGGGCUCAACCUGGGAACUGCAUUCGAAACUGGCAGGCUAGAGUCUUGUAGAGG